GAUGAUAUGGCUCAGUUGGUAGAGAGCUUGCCUCUCACGCACAACGCUCUGGGUUCAAUUCCCAGCAUCAUAA
Molecule: transfer RNA, 73 nt
Filed under: Ictidomys tridecemlineatus (thirteen-lined ground squirrel)
Lineage: Eukaryota; Metazoa; Chordata; Mammalia; Rodentia; Sciuridae
Description: Spermophilus tridecemlineatus (thirteen-lined ground squirrel) tRNA
Rfam family: tRNA
About the family: Transfer RNA (tRNA) molecules are approximately 80 nucleotides in length. Their secondary structure includes four short double-helical elements and three loops (D, anti-codon, and T loops). Further hydrogen bonds mediate the characteristic L-shaped molecular structure. tRNAs have two regions of fundamental functional importance: the anti-codon, which is responsible for specific mRNA codon recognition, and the 3' end, to which the tRNAs corresponding amino acid is attached (by aminoacyl-tRNA synthetases). tRNAs cope with the degeneracy of the genetic code in two manners: having more than one tRNA (with a specific anti-codon) for a particular amino acid; and 'wobble' base-pairing, i.e. permitting non-standard base-pairing at the 3rd anti-codon position.
Source: Rfam by way of RNAcentral